GCAAAACAGCUAGCCUAAUCCUAUAAAAUAAAUGACCAAACGUAAUUAACACAAUAAUAUUUAAAACUUAAAAUAAAACAUUCUACCCCCCAAGUAUAGGCGAUAGAAAAGGAAAACAGAGCAAUAGAAAAAGUACCGCAAGGGAAUGCUGAAAAAGAAGUGAAACAACCCGCAAGGCAAAAAAAAGCAGAGACUAA
RNAcentral lists this ribosomal RNA (197 nucleotides) under Conger japonicus. RNAcentral's name for it is "partial 16S ribosomal RNA". Lineage: Eukaryota; Metazoa; Chordata; Actinopteri; Anguilliformes; Congridae. The record is from RNAcentral.